ACGUAGGGGGCUAGCGUUAUCCGGAUUUACUGGGCGUAAAGGGUGCGUAGGCGGUCUUUCAAGUCAGGAGUUAAAGGCUACGGCUCAACCGUAGUAAGCUCCUGAUACUGUCUGACUUGAGUGCAGGAGAGGAAAGCGGAAUUCCCAGUGUAGCGGUGAAAUGCGUAGAUAUUGGGAGGAACACCAGUAGCGAAGGCGGCUUUCUGGACUGUAACUGACGCUGAGGCACGAAAGCGUGGGGAGCAAACAG
This 250-nucleotide ribosomal RNA is filed under the name uncultured bacterium. Its description in RNAcentral is "partial 16S ribosomal RNA". It matches the Rfam family "Bacterial small subunit ribosomal RNA", at positions 525 to 775 of the family's 1533-position model. The record is from RNAcentral.